Molecule: ribosomal RNA, 588 nt
Filed under: uncultured bacterium
Lineage: Bacteria
Description: partial 16S ribosomal RNA
Rfam family: Bacterial small subunit ribosomal RNA
Source: RNAcentral
UGGGGAAUUUUGGACAAUGGGCGAAAGCCUGAUCCAGCAAUGCCGCGUGUGUGAAGAAGGCCUUCGGGUUGUAAAGCACUUUUGUCCGGAAAGAAAUCCUUGGCUCUAAUACAGUCGGGGGAUGACGGUACCGGAAGAAUAAGCACCGGCUAACUACGUGCCAGCAGCCGCGGUAAUACGUAGGGUGCAAGCGUUAAUCGGAAUUACUGGGCGUAAAGCGUGCGCAGGCGGUUUGCUAAGACCGACGUGAAAUCCCCGGGCUCAACCUGGGAACUGCAUUGGUGACUGGCAGGCUAGAGUAUGGCAGAGGGGGGUUAGAAUUCCACGUGUAGCAGUGAAAUGCGUAGAGAUGUGGAGGAAUACCGAUGGCGAAGGCAGCCCCCUGGGCCAAUACUGACGCUCAUGCACGAAAAGGCGUGGGGAGCAAACAGGAUUAGAUACCCUGGUAGUCCACGCCCUAAACGAUGUCAACUAGUUGUUGGGGAUUCAUUUCCUUAGUAACGUAGCUAACGCGUGAAGUUGACCGCCUGGGGAGUACGGUCGCAAGAUUAAAACUCAAAUGAAUUGACGGGGUCAUAGCUGUUUCCU